RNAcentral lists this transfer RNA (84 nucleotides) under Sulfurimonas marina. Its description in RNAcentral is "Sulfurimonas sp. B2 tRNA-Leu". It matches the Rfam family "tRNA". Rfam says of the family: Transfer RNA (tRNA) molecules are approximately 80 nucleotides in length. Their secondary structure includes four short double-helical elements and three loops (D, anti-codon, and T loops). The record is from RNAcentral. Lineage: Bacteria; Pseudomonadati; Campylobacterota; Epsilonproteobacteria; Campylobacterales; Sulfurimonadaceae.
GCGAUCGUGGUGGAACGGUAGACACGCUAUCUUGAGGGGGUAGUGCCCUAGGGUGUGAGGGUUCAAAUCCCUCCGAUCGCACCA